RNAcentral lists this long non-coding RNA (267 nucleotides) under Sorghum bicolor (sorghum). RNAcentral's name for it is "long non-coding RNA (SBIC_LNC017775)". Lineage: Eukaryota; Viridiplantae; Streptophyta; Magnoliopsida; Poales; Poaceae. The record is from RNAcentral.
GAUGGCUGUUAUCGGUAGUGGCUAUGUCUAAGCCGGUGAGCAUGAGUAUAUCGGCAAGUGUAGGAGAAGCAGGGCCAUGGCCAAACACAAAAGCAUUGAGCGUGUCUGACCAAAAGUACGAAGCAGCAAUUAGCAGUGACUCAUUCCUCUCCAUAUCGGCAAGAGACAAUCUAAUACACUGGUCUAGCUUCCGCUCGCCCCAUUGAACCUCAUUUGAGUGGCUAACUCUCAGAAACUAAUCCUUCCAUCCCUUGGUAGGACUGGGCC